UACGUAGGGUCCGAGCGUUGUCCGGAAUUAUUGGGCGUAAAGUGCUCGUAGGCGGUUUGUCACGUCGGGAGUGAAAACUCGGGGCUUAACCCCGAGCCUGCUGCCGAUACGGGCAGACUAGAGGUAGGCAGGGGAGAGCGGAACUCCUGGUGUAGCGGUGGAAUGCGCAGAUAUCAGGAAGAACACCGGUGGCGAAGGCGGCUCUCUGGGCCUUACCUGACGCUGAGGAGCGAAAGCGUGGGUAGCGAACAGG
This 253-nucleotide ribosomal RNA is filed under the name uncultured bacterium. Its description in RNAcentral is "partial 16S ribosomal RNA". It matches the Rfam family "Bacterial small subunit ribosomal RNA", at positions 524 to 776 of the family's 1533-position model. The record is from RNAcentral.